This 1106-nucleotide long non-coding RNA is filed under the name Homo sapiens (human). RNAcentral's name for it is "HSALNT0307698". The record is from RNAcentral. Lineage: Eukaryota; Metazoa; Chordata; Mammalia; Primates; Hominidae.
UGGGUACAGAGCAAGACUCUGUCUUGGGGGAAAAAAAAAAGUAAGAGAUGGUGAUUGGUUGGAUAUGGGAGAUAAAGGAAAGAUUUAAGUUUAACUUCUGACUUCUUAUGGCUGAAUACUACCCACUGAAUGAAGAUCUGUUUAGGGAAAAGAUAAAGGGUUCUGACUUGGACAUAUCUAGUUCAAGGUUCCUAGAUCAUAUCUUAGUGAAUAUACCCUGCAUAAAACUCAUGGGUAAUGUCUAGAUUGGAGAAAAAAUAGGAGAAAAAUCAUCAGAUCACCCAAAGAAAGUGUGCAGAAUAAGUAAAGUUGUGGACCAAGGAUUAAAACCUUGGGGAAUUCUAACAUCAAGAAUGAAAGCACACACGGAAAAAGAAUCUAAGCUUCAUGAAGGUGGAUUUUUGUUCAUUUUAUUUACUGUUAUGGCUCCAGCUGUUCUUACUAUAUGAUGACUUCUGGAGUGAUCAGAAAAUUUUCCAGUCCAUAAACUUGCCUAUUGGAGGGGAAGGAAAAGAAGGGCCCUGCAUUCUAAGAUUUCAUAUUGGUAGGGAUGAUACUGGCUUUUUAUUUGCCAGUUCUACAUAAACAGCUAUCAGAUUAUUAUAAAUUUAAGCAUGCUAUUGUCUACAUCUAGAUGUAUUGAACUAAAAGGAAGACACCAGUAAAAAGAAGUGGAGUCAUAUUUCUUACCUCUUUGUGCUUCGUAAGAGAGUCAAUCCUGGAGUGACGUGAGUAGCAGAAUGCCAAGUCUAUGAGUCACGUGAUAACUACUGGACAUGCACAUGAGAAUAUGACGAGGAUGGUGCCUUAGAAUGGGGAUUCUCAAUCUGAGGUAACAAUGGGAACAAUUACCAUAUAACUAUUCAAGUGUUUAACUAGCCAGUAUUUUAAAAAAUACCUACUACAUCCUCAGCAUAGUCACUGAAGAAAACUAGGGAUCCAAGAAAAUCAUACCAUUUAAAAAUAAUUGGUAAGUAUGCUAUUUAGCAUGAAAAAUUAGUUUGGACACAUUAAAUGUUCUAGCAAUUUAGAGGAGAGGUUUAGCGGGCAGAAUUCGAGGAGGAGCUGGAGUAAGGGGAGUAUUGCGGGGUGUAUGGUCACUAAGA